GGUAGGUGGUGCAUGGCCGUUCUUAGUUCGUGAAGUGAUUCGUUCGCCCAAUCGCAUUUCCAAACAACUAACAACUCAGAAUGCUGGGCAAUAGGACGUUUAAAGUGGCUCCUUACACCUUACAAAGGAAUGGCUGAUGAGAAACAACUCGAUCCGCUCAGCGUUCUAUUGGAAUGCAACGGACGUGAUUGCAAGCUUUUGUUUUGAGUUGCGGUUUUACUGAAAGACUCUACAAUCCGCAAACUUCAAUGAUCUGAAGUAGAAAACCUACAUGCUACAGUGAGAUAUUGUGGAUA
Molecule: ribosomal RNA, 296 nt
Filed under: Globigerinoides sacculifer
Lineage: Eukaryota; Foraminifera; Rotaliida; Globigerinidae
Description: partial 18S ribosomal RNA
Source: RNAcentral